GCAGAAGAUACUGGAGCAAAAGGCUAAGACAUCAUCAAUCUUUCCUUCAUUUUUUUUCUUAAGGUCCAAAGAUACCUGCUCUGGAUGCUGACCUAACAGAGGGGCUGAACCAAGUGCACAGCGUGACAUGCUGUUCAGCAGAGGAAGGUGCUAACCCACCUCGUGGCCUGUCGAGAGAAUUUCUAUUCAUCCAAUCAUCACGAGAGUAAUACCUACUAAGAUUAAGAGUGUUCACUAUGGAGCAGGCAAUUCACCUGUAUCAACAGUCAGGAAUGUUCACAAAGGUCCCUAGGAGAAACGAAUUCGGGGAUGACUGACUUAAGCAGAUGACUGCACAUGUACUUUGUCGGUUCUCAUACACUGAACAUAAUGAGGAACGGAGUGCCAGAUGGCACUUCUCCACAGAUGGUCUCGGCACACCCUCCCUUACACACACCAUCUUCUGCAAAAACCUCGGCACCUUCCCAUCGGUCUUGGUGUUUCCAGAAAAUCCAGGAAGAGGCAGAAGGGCAGCCUGUUUGGAGCUCUGAGGCUUGUUGUAGGGCUCUACACAGAUGGUUCUGGCUCUCGCCAUCAGACUGCCUUCCAGUUUUGAAAGCACAGCCAGCUGUCAGCUACAUCACGGCCUGAGGAUCCAUCCAGAGACAGCAGCCAGGCCUUGGGUGCGAAGCUGCCUGAGUCGGGGUGCCAGCCUUCCCUCACAUCGCCUCCACCCGUAUCACUGCAGUAAACAUCCCCACGUGUCCUCUCCGGUGGCCAGGCUUGUCAGCACCUCACUGAGAGGUCAGGAAGCCACUUGGCCAGCCCCGGGAGGCAGCUGAGAGGGCCCACUGUGUCAGCCUGCUCCCCCACCAGCAAAAGGGUUUCCUCCCAAGGGCUUCAGGACCGAGGUCUUCAUUGCACAGUGAAGCUACGGAACCAAAGCUACCACUAAUAAACUUCAAUCAGAACAAAAUAAAACAUGCAAGCUCUUUAUGCCAGGAACGUUUCAGACUUUGACAUACAGGCCUCUGCCAAUGUGAUUAAGGUAUCUACUGACCUGGAGCCAGAACUGUUUUUUCACAUUAAAUUGCUAACUCGUGUUCAAA
This is a non-coding RNA of Odocoileus virginianus texanus, 1088 nucleotides long. NCBI's taxonomy places the organism in Eukaryota, Metazoa, Chordata, Mammalia, Artiodactyla, Cervidae. The record is from RefSeq and is a predicted model, not a curated record.